GGGGAUAUAGCUCAAUGGUAGAGUGUGUAGUUUGCAACUAUAAUGUUAUCGGUUCGAGUCCGUUUAUCUCCA
Molecule: transfer RNA, 72 nt
Filed under: Proteromonas lacertae
Lineage: Eukaryota; Bigyra; Opalinata; Proteromonadidae
Description: tRNA-Ala
Rfam family: tRNA
About the family: Transfer RNA (tRNA) molecules are approximately 80 nucleotides in length. Their secondary structure includes four short double-helical elements and three loops (D, anti-codon, and T loops).
Source: RNAcentral